GGAUGUGAGGGUGAUGUGGUUGUGACAUCUGUCACCCCAUUGAUCGCCAGGGUUGAUUCAGCUGAUCUGGCUGGCUAGGCAGGUGUUCCCUUCCUCCCUCACCAUUCCAUGUGUGUCCCUCCUGAAGAUUCAUGCUCAAAGAGGACAAUCUUCUCCCAUAGAGGAGGACCAUUCUUCAAUCAAGGGUCUACGAGCAGCUGUGCUCCCCUGCUAGAACCUCCAAGCUCUCAGGGUCCAAAAUGGCCAUAGGAAGUGGCAGAAGUCCUAAUCUAUGAAUGGCAAACUUCGUAGGGGUUGAAGGUCUAUUGAG
Molecule: small nuclear RNA, 310 nt
Filed under: Microcebus murinus (gray mouse lemur)
Lineage: Eukaryota; Metazoa; Chordata; Mammalia; Primates; Cheirogaleidae
Description: 7SK RNA (ENSMICG00000021038.3)
Rfam family: 7SK RNA
About the family: 7SK was discovered as an abundant small nuclear RNA in the mid-70s but a possible function has only recently been suggested.
Source: RNAcentral